GAUGAACGCUGGCGGCGUGCCUAACACAUGCAAGUCGAGCGAACAGACGCGGCGCUUGCUCCUCUGACGUUAGGCGCGGGGGGGUGAGUCACAUGAGUAAAACCCACCUGUAAUACGGGGAACACUACGGGAAUCCGGCGAUUACACCGGAUAAUAUCUUGAACCGUGUGGGUCGAUGGAGAAAGUCGGUGUUGCGGGCACUUAUAGAGGGAUACGCGCCGCAUUGGCUAGUUGGUAAGGUAAAGGCUUUCGAAGGGGAGGAUGCGUGGCCGACUGCACAGGCGGAUCGCCCACACUGGAGCUGGGCCACGGUCCAGACUCCUACGGGACGCAGCAGUAGGGAAUCUUCCGCAGUGGGCGAAAGCCUGACGGAGCGGCGCCGCGUGUGUGAUGACGGUCUUCGGUUCGUAAAGCUCUGUUACUGGGGAAGAACCGCUGUGUACUGAACUAUGCACGUCUUGACGGUACCUGAUCAGAAAGCCCCGGCUAACUACGUG
This 497-nucleotide ribosomal RNA is filed under the name uncultured bacterium. RNAcentral's name for it is "partial 16S ribosomal RNA". It matches the Rfam family "Bacterial small subunit ribosomal RNA", at positions 28 to 507 of the family's 1533-position model. The record is from RNAcentral.